AGUGGCGCACGGGUGCGUAACGCGUGGGAACCUGCCCUAAGGUUCGGAAUAACUCAGAGAAAUUUGAGCUAAUACCGGAUAAUGUCUUCGGACCAAAGAUUUAUCGCCUUUGGAUGGGCCCGCGUUGGAUUAGCUAGUUGGUGGGGUAAAGGCUCACCAAGGCGACGAUCCAUAGCUGGUCUUAGAGGAUGAUCAGCCACACUGGGACUGAGACACGGCCCAGACUCCUACGGGAGGCAGCAGUGGGGAAUAUUGGACAAUGGGCGAAAGCCUGAUCCAGCAAUGCCGCGUGAGUGAUGAAGGCCUUAGGGUUGUAAAGCUCUUUUACCCGGGAUGAUAAUGACAGUACCGGGAGAAUAAGCCCCGGCUAACUCCGUGCCAGCAGCCGCGGUAAUACGGAGGGGGCUAGCGUUGUUCGGAAAUACUGGGCGUAAAGCGAACGUAGGCGG
RNAcentral lists this ribosomal RNA (449 nucleotides) under uncultured Alphaproteobacteria bacterium. RNAcentral describes it as "bacterial SSU rRNA". It matches the Rfam family "Bacterial small subunit ribosomal RNA", at positions 94 to 578 of the family's 1533-position model. Lineage: Bacteria; Pseudomonadati; Pseudomonadota; Alphaproteobacteria. The record is from RNAcentral.